GCGACCAUGGUGGAAUUGGUAGACACGCUAGCAUGAGGUGCUAGUGCCCUUGGUGUGAGAGUUCGAGUCUCUCUGGUCGCACCA
RNAcentral lists this transfer RNA (84 nucleotides) under Vibrio chagasii. RNAcentral's name for it is "tRNA-Leu". It matches the Rfam family "tRNA". From Rfam's summary of the family: Transfer RNA (tRNA) molecules are approximately 80 nucleotides in length. Their secondary structure includes four short double-helical elements and three loops (D, anti-codon, and T loops). The record is from RNAcentral. Lineage: Bacteria; Pseudomonadati; Pseudomonadota; Gammaproteobacteria; Vibrionales; Vibrionaceae.